AAAUAGGCCCUUAUCAGGGCCCCCCAAAUAAUUCCACCACAGAGUAU
This is a non-coding RNA of Pteropus alecto (black flying fox), 47 nucleotides long. The record is from Rfam. NCBI's taxonomy places the organism in Eukaryota, Metazoa, Chordata, Mammalia, Chiroptera, Pteropodidae.